RNAcentral lists this ribosomal RNA (253 nucleotides) under uncultured prokaryote. RNAcentral's name for it is "partial 16S ribosomal RNA". It matches the Rfam family "Bacterial small subunit ribosomal RNA", at positions 524 to 776 of the family's 1533-position model. The record is from RNAcentral.
UACGGGGGGUGCGAGCGUUGUCCGGAAUCACUGGGCGUAAAGGGCGCGUAGGUGGUUUGAUAAGGGUGUGGUGAAAGUCCGGGGCUCAACCCCGGAUCUGCCGUGCCGACUGUCAAACUCGAGGGCUGUAGAGGCAGACGGAAUUCCGGGUGUAGCGGUGGAAUGCGUAGAGAUCCGGAGGAACACCUGUGGCGAAAGCGGCGCACUGGACCAUAACUGACGCUGAGGCGCGAAAGCUAGGGGAGCAAACAGG